RNAcentral lists this ribosomal RNA (479 nucleotides) under uncultured bacterium. RNAcentral describes it as "partial 16S ribosomal RNA". It matches the Rfam family "Bacterial small subunit ribosomal RNA", at positions 28 to 507 of the family's 1533-position model. The record is from RNAcentral.
GAUGAACGCUAGCGGGAGCCCUAACACAUGCAAGCCGAGCGGUAUUGUUUCUUCGGAAAUGAGAGAGCGGCGUACGGGUGCGUAACACGUGUGCAACCUGCCUUUAUCUGGGGGAUAGCCUUUCGAAAGGAAGAUUAAUACUCCAUAAUAUAUUGAACGGCAUCGUUUAAUAUUGAAAGCUCCGGCGGAUAGAGAUGGGCACGCGCAAGAUUAGCUAGUUGGUGAGGUAACGGCUCACCAAGGCGAUGAUCUUUAGGGGGCCUGAGAGGGUGAUCCCCCACACUGGUACUGAGACACGGACCAGACUCCUACGGGAGGCAGCAGUGAGGAAUAUUGGUCAAUGGGUGCAAGCCUGAACCAGCCAUCCCGCGUGAAGGACGACUGCCCUAUGGGUUGUAAACUUCUUUUGUAUAGGGAUAAACCUACCCUCGUGAGGGUAGCUGAAGGUACUAUACGAAUAAGCACCGGCUAACUCCGUG